Molecule: small nuclear RNA, 163 nt
Organism: Rattus norvegicus (Norway rat)
Lineage: Eukaryota; Metazoa; Chordata; Mammalia; Rodentia; Muridae
Product: U2 spliceosomal RNA
Source: Ensembl
AUUACUUCUUGGCCUUUUAGCUAAGGUCCAGUAUAGUAUCUGCAUCAGUUUAAUAACUGAUAGUCCUUUAACUGAGGACAAUAUAUUAAAUGGAUUUUUGAAACAGAGAGAUGAAUAUACUUUCUCCAUCCACUGCAUACACUGACCUCUCAGAGGUAUUCUA